UAAGAGGUCCAGCCUGCCCAGUGACACAAUUUAACGGCCGCGGUACCCUAACCGUGCGAAGGUAGCAUAAUCACUUGUUCUUUAAAUAGGGACUAGUAUCAACGGCAUCACGAGGGUUAUACUGUCUCCUCUCUCCAAUCAGUGAAACUGAUCUCCCCGUGAAGAAGCGGGGAUUUUUAUAUAAGACGAGAAGACCCCAUGGAGCUUCAAACCCAGUAUACAUCUCUAUAAUACUAUAUCACCUUAACCCAAGAAACCUGUAUACUAGUUUUAGGUUGGGGGGACCGCGGAGUAUAACUUAACCUCCACGACAAACGGGCCUAAGCCCUUAUCCACGAACCACAAUUCCAAGAAUCAAUAAACUGAUGUUUAAUGACCCGAUAAUUCGAUCAACGAACCAAGUUACCCUGGGGAUAACAGCGCAAUCUACUUCAAGAGCCCCUAUCGACAAGUAGGUUUACGACCUCGAUGUUGGAUCAGGGUAUCCUAGUGGUGCAGCCGCUACUAAUGGUUCG
Molecule: ribosomal RNA, 515 nt
Filed under: Glandirana minima
Lineage: Eukaryota; Metazoa; Chordata; Amphibia; Anura; Ranidae
Description: partial 16S ribosomal RNA
Rfam family: Bacterial large subunit ribosomal RNA
Source: RNAcentral